This 253-nucleotide ribosomal RNA is filed under the name uncultured bacterium. RNAcentral's name for it is "partial 16S ribosomal RNA". It matches the Rfam family "Bacterial small subunit ribosomal RNA", at positions 524 to 776 of the family's 1533-position model. The record is from RNAcentral.
AACGUAGGAGACAAACGUUAUCCGGAGUUACUGGGCGUAAAGGGCGUGUAGGUGGUUCUGUAAGUCUGGCGUGAAAUUUCUCGGCUUAACCGGGAAAGGUCGUCGGAUACUGCAGGGCUAGAGGACGGUAGAGGCGUGUGGAAUUCCGGGUGUAGUGGUGAAAUGCGUAGAGAUCCGGAGGAACACCAGUGGCGAAGGCGACACGCUGGGCCGUACCUGACACUGAUGCGCGACAGCAUGGGGAGCAAACAGG